RNAcentral lists this ribosomal RNA (756 nucleotides) under Nuncia roeweri gelida. RNAcentral describes it as "partial large subunit ribosomal RNA". It matches the Rfam family "Eukaryotic large subunit ribosomal RNA", at positions 1160 to 1870 of the family's 3401-position model. The record is from RNAcentral. Lineage: Eukaryota; Metazoa; Arthropoda; Arachnida; Opiliones; Triaenonychidae.
GGGAUGAACCAAACGACGGGUUAAGGGGCCCGAUGCAGGACGCUCAUGAGACCCCAUGAAAGGUGUUGGUUGCUAUAGACAGCAGGACGGUGGCCAUGGAAGUCGGAAUCCGCUAAGGAGUGUGUAACAACUCACCUGCCGAAGCAACUAGCCCUGAAAAUGGAUGGCGCUUCAGCGUCGACCCCAUACCCGUCCGCCGCGGCGGAGAUGCGAUCGCAUUAUGCCGCGGUGAGUAGGAGGGCGCGGGGGCGCGCGUGGAAGGUGCCGGGCGUAAGCCCGCCUGGAGCCGCCCCCGGUGCAGAUCUUGGUGGUAGUAGCAAAUACUCAAGUGAGAACCUUGAGGACUGAGGUGGAGAAGGGUUCCAUGUGAACAGCAGUUGAACAUGGGUCAGUCGGUCCUAAGGGAUGUCCGAAAGGAUUUCCGAAGGGGGACUUUAAGUUGUUUGGGUCCCGCCCAUGACCGAAAGGGAAUCGGGUUAAUAUUCCCGAACCCGGACACGGAGAUCGGUCCCCUCGGGGACACGUGCGGUAACGCAAACGACCUCGGAGACGUCGACGGGGGUCCCGGGAAGAGUUGUCUUUUCUUUGUAAGGGUUCGGCUCCCUGGAAUCGGCUCGCCCGGAGAUAGGGAUGCUGAACCCGUAAAGCACCGCGCCUCUUGCGGUGUCCGGAGCGCUCCCGUCGGCCCUUGAAAAUCCGAGCGAGAGUUGGUGAUUUUCGUGCCGGACCGUACCCAUAUCCGCAGCAGGUCUCCAA